AAUAAUCAGAAAAGAGAAAAUUACUAAGAAAUAUCAAAUGAUAAAAUAAGAAAUAUUAAAAAUCUAUUUUAGAAAGUAGAAAUUAAAAGGAGAAGAAUGAAAUUGGUCCCAUAAAUUUUGGACUAAUAAUGAGAGAGAUAUGAAUUUUAGAAAUAAAAUGGAAAUAAAAGAAAUAAAAGAAAUUAAAAUCAGAAAUUAGAAAAAGAGAAAAAGCGUGGAGCGUUGGAUGAUCCUUCAUUAAUUGACGUGGAUCAUCACACGGCCUAGAAGCGCG
This 274-nucleotide long non-coding RNA is filed under the name Lathyrus oleraceus (garden pea). Its description in RNAcentral is "Pisum sativum (pea) long non-coding RNA (PSAT_LNC033233)". The record is from RNAcentral. Lineage: Eukaryota; Viridiplantae; Streptophyta; Magnoliopsida; Fabales; Fabaceae.